RNAcentral lists this long non-coding RNA (1392 nucleotides) under Panax ginseng (ginseng). Its description in RNAcentral is "long non-coding RNA (PGIN_LNC016869)". The record is from RNAcentral. Lineage: Eukaryota; Viridiplantae; Streptophyta; Magnoliopsida; Apiales; Araliaceae.
UUAAAUCUCCGUCCUGGAGCUCAACCCUUCAUUAUUGGUUUGUUCACAAACCCUCUCUCUUUCUCUUUUAUAAUCGCCUCUGCUUCCUCUUCUGGCUCUGUUAAAAACUCCUCCUCUUUCCUCCAUGACUACCCUCCUACAAAAAAUGUUGAAAGGUACUGCUUCCGGCUACUCACUCCUUCAGCAAACCCACACCCACGCGGGAAACAACCGCGGUAGAGGUUAUGCGGCCGCCUCUAGCUCCGCCAGGCGUGCUGUGGGUGCUCUUCUUCCUCCGUCGUCGGCCGUCGUUGCAUUUUCUCUGAUAUGUGUACUAUUGGCCCAACGCCGGAAUCAAGUCGCCUCCAUCUCGAAAGACCUGAACGAGGCGGUGGAGAAAAUGAAUGAGUUAACAGAGGUCGUUCACAGUUUGAGAUAUGAACUGGAGAAGGGAAAGUGAAGAAAAGAAGGAAGAAGCUUAGGGUUACACUUUAUGUUGCUGUUUCCGGUUAAUUCAUUGCUUAGUUUGGAUGAACAUGUGUAGAGUUAUGGCUUUUACAGAGCAACAAAAAAUCGAAUUCAGUUGGUUUUGUUGCUCCAGUGUUUCUUUUACUGUGUAAUUUUAGUAAAUGCUGAAAAUGGUUAAGAAAAGAACUCAUUUCCAUUCAUUUCUUCUCAUUCUUUUUAAGAAGAGAUGUUAUUUUACGUUUUCCGGUUUGAUUACUUUAUGGUUUGGUUUUAAUUGUUUGGCUUGGGCAAGAGAAAUUCUUAGUAAUUGAAAAUAUUGGUAUAGUUUUCAUCCCAGAUCUGAAUUAUCAUUUACUAGUCAGUUUAACUGAUCUUGUUUUGGAGAUGAUACUAUAUGUAAAUAUAAAUCUUGGUGAUGAAUUGUUAAUCAUCUCAGUUACAUUAUGAGAAAAGGAUUGCAAAUCAUGCUUUUAGUAUUUUCCUUCUUGUUCUUCAUUUUUUUGGUUUUCAGUUUAUCCAGGGUCAAGCCAUAAUUUGCAGAGAUCUUGUGUUCCUUUCUCUGGCAUCUAUGGAGUGCAUCCAUUUUACUUUCUUGGGCUUGUAUCUGAAAAAGAAAAGGGGCGCCUCUGAAAUUCAGUUUACUAGGUCACAUAAAAAAUCAUCUUUUCUUAUUCAGCUAUCAGUAUCUUUCAGUAGAGCUACUUAUCUAAUAUAUAUAUAUUAGAAUUUAUUUUGCAUUUGGACUGAAUUGUUUAGUCUGGCCUUUCUUCUAGCAAUCUAUUGUAAUUCACCACCAGUGUUUUAGAUUCUUAGUGGGUAAAAGUAAUUCAAUGGCUUGCUUAUAAACUUGUCAUUGCACUCUUAUUUCUUCAAAAGUUCUCAAUGAAUGUACCACAUAGGUUUCAUGUUUGCAUCUAAUGUUGGCCUAAUGGCUUCAAAGUUGAC